UACGUAGGGGGCUAGCGUUAUCCGGAAUUACUGGGCGUAAAGGGUGCGUAGGUGGUUUCUUAAGUCAGAGGUGAAAGGCUACGGCUCAACCGUAGUAAGCCUUUGAAACUGGGAAACUUGAGUGCAGGAGAGGAGAGUGGAAUUCCUAGUGUAGCGGUGAAAUGCGUAGAUAUUAGGAGGAACUCCGAUUGCGCAGGCAGCUUACUAAACUACUACUGACGCUCAGGCACGAAGGCGUGGGGAUCAAACAGGAUUAGAUACCCCCGUAGUCCCUGAGCGGG
This 281-nucleotide ribosomal RNA is filed under the name uncultured prokaryote. RNAcentral's name for it is "partial 16S ribosomal RNA". It matches the Rfam family "Bacterial small subunit ribosomal RNA", at positions 524 to 803 of the family's 1533-position model. The record is from RNAcentral.